Molecule: ribosomal RNA, 253 nt
Filed under: uncultured bacterium
Lineage: Bacteria
Description: partial 16S ribosomal RNA
Rfam family: Bacterial small subunit ribosomal RNA
Source: RNAcentral
UACGUAGGGUGCAAGCGUUAUCCGGAAUGAUUGGGCGUAAAGCGUCCGCAGGUGGCUAUGUAAGUCUGCUGUUAAAGAGUGAGGCUCAACCUCAUAAAAGCAGUGGAAACUACACAGCUAGAGUGCGGUAGGGGCAGAGGGAAUUCCUGGUGUAGCGGUGAAAUGCGUAGAGAUCAGGAAGAACACCGGUGGCGAAAGCGCUCUGCUAGGCCGCAACUGACACUGAGGGACGAAAGCUAGGGGAGCGAAUGGG